This 485-nucleotide ribosomal RNA is filed under the name uncultured bacterium. Its description in RNAcentral is "bacterial SSU rRNA". It matches the Rfam family "Bacterial small subunit ribosomal RNA", at positions 8 to 526 of the family's 1533-position model. The record is from RNAcentral.
AGAGUUUGAUCCUGGCUCAGAACGAACGCUGGCGGCGUGCUUAACACAUGCAAGUCGAACGAUUUUAGCCUUUCGGGGCGAAAGAGAGUGGCAGACGGGUGAGGAACGCGUGGGAACAUACCUUGUAGUGGGGAACAACGAUUGGAAACGAUCGCUAAUACCGCAUAAGCCCUAAGGGGGAAAGAAGUAAUUCGCUAUAAGAGUGGCCCGCGUUAGAUUAGGUAGUUGGUGGGGUAAAGGCCUACCAAGCCUGUGAUCUAUAGCUGAUUUGAGAGGAUGAACAGCCACACUGGGACUGAGACACGGCCCAGACUCCUACGGGAGGCAGCAGUGGGGAAUAUUGGACAAUGGGGGAAACCCUGAUCCAGCAACGCCGCGUGAAUGAUGAAGGCCUUCGGGUUGUAAAGUUCUUUUACCUGAGAAGAUAAUGACGGUAUCAGGGGAAAAAGCACCGGCUAACUUCGUGCCAGCAGCCGCGGUAAUUC